AUCCCUCUCUUUCUCAAUUUCUAUCCUACUCUUCUCAAUCUGCAUCUCACGCCUUCGAUCCCUAACACUCCUUUGAACAACAGCCGCAAGAAAUCCAUCAAGCCAACCCGUGCUCAGUCGUCGUUGAACCCAACACUGUGAUCCCUCGUGCUCAACGUUGUUGUCGUCGAACCACCACGUGCCCAACCUUGUCGUCGUUGAACCACCACUAGAAGAAAUCCAUCGUCGUUGUGCUCGCCACCACCGUAAACCCACCCAUGCUCAGUAGUCAUCGAACCCACCACUGCUUUUGUGCUUGCCACUAGAAGGUCCGUCCCAACCAUCGCCAUCACCGUGCUCAGCCGUAUCUAUCUCAUAAUCUUGGAUCUGGUUAAAGCUCGUGGCCAGAUCUGCAUUCAAAGCGCCGCUCAUUGAACGCCUUGAACGAUUCUGAAGUUGCCCAUUGAAUUCAAUGUUGGCAGUUUGUCCAUUGAAUACCUUGAACGAUUUCCAACUGAAGAUAUUCUCAUUAGAGAUGGUAUUUCUUCCAAAGACUUUGUAAUUGAUCUAUUUUCGCUCACAUUUGUUCGAUUUAACAGUAGUGAAGUAUGUCGAUCUCAAUGUUGGCAGCAUCCUAAUGUUAUUCCGAUGUGAAGAAGAAAGUGAAUGAUGCAGAUAGAAGUUAAAGCACCUUGAAGAAAUGACUCCUCUAGCAUACUACAACGUGGAAGACAAAGACAUAUAUCAAUUAUUACAAAUAUCAAACUUAAGUUAUAAAAGGUUAGAGCACCUUGAAGAUAUUUUAAUCUUUUGGAUGCGAUGAAGCUUUACAACUAAUAGUCACUGAGUUCAUCUCCACUUUUGAAGGGCAUAUUUUGCUGGUAGUCUACUGAAAUAUAGACCACUCACUUCAAAGUUUAAAGAACCCAUUUGAAAUCAAGCUCCAAAUUUCGUACAAGUGAUAGUACCUGAGAUCUCAACAAGAGGCUACAAUAUAGUACAUAAAGUCUUUUAAAAUGAGGUCUAUACUUGAUGAAUACUCAUAAUGGAUAACUGAUGUUCGCUUUAGCCCAAGGACAUUAAAGGAUCGCAACACUUCAGGAAAAGGGAAGGCCUUUAAUAACACUACAGUGAAGCAUAGAGUGAAGCGGUCGAUUAAGGUGCCCACGAUUAGUAACAAGCUAGCAGAUAUGAUGAUUAUUCAUGGAGGAAAUAUGGCCAAAAGCCAAUCAAGGGUUCUCCACACCCAAGAUAAUUGAAGUCAUAUCGGGUUGAAUGCUAAGCGAUUGUGCAGAGAUGGCCAAGCGAUAUUUGAAAAUUGAAGACUGAGAAGGCAUUUAGGAUUUUUAAUUAUUUAAUUCUUGUAUUAGAAUUUUUUUCAUGUACUAUUGUAGAAUGUAUAUAUAAAAAUAAUAUUAAGAUUUUAUUUUGUGUAUUCAAAUGUAAAAGACAAAUAUUAUAGUUUCUAACAUAAUAUGAAUUUCAUUGA
Molecule: long non-coding RNA, 1468 nt
Organism: Cucumis melo (muskmelon)
Lineage: Eukaryota; Viridiplantae; Streptophyta; Magnoliopsida; Cucurbitales; Cucurbitaceae
Exons: 6
Source: RefSeq, a predicted model, not a curated record